RNAcentral lists this transfer RNA (62 nucleotides) under Uzeldikra longiprocessa. Its description in RNAcentral is "tRNA-His". The record is from RNAcentral. Lineage: Eukaryota; Metazoa; Arthropoda; Insecta; Hemiptera; Cicadellidae.
AUUUAAGUAGUUUAUGAAAAAUAAAGACUUGUGAUGUCUUAGAAGCUUUAAAGUCUUAAAUU